This 497-nucleotide ribosomal RNA is filed under the name Vibrio campbellii. Its description in RNAcentral is "bacterial SSU rRNA". It matches the Rfam family "Bacterial small subunit ribosomal RNA", at positions 26 to 502 of the family's 1533-position model. Lineage: Bacteria; Pseudomonadati; Pseudomonadota; Gammaproteobacteria; Vibrionales; Vibrionaceae. The record is from RNAcentral.
AGAAUGAACGCUGGCGGCAGGCCUAACACAUGCAAGUCGAGCGGAAACGAGUUAUCUGAACCUUCGGGGAACGAUAACGGCGUCGAGCGGCGGACGGGUGAGUAAUGCCUAGGAAAUUGCCCUGAUGUGGGGGAUAACCAUUGGAAACGAUGGCUAAUACCGCAUAAUGCCUACGGGCCAAAGAGGGGGACCUUCGGGCCUCUCGCGUCAGGAUAUGCCUAGGUGGGAUUAGCUAGUUGGUGAGGUAAGGGCUCACCAAGGCGACGAUCCCUAGCUGGUCUGAGAGGAUGAUCAGCCACACUGGAACUGAGACACGGUCCAGACUCCUACGGGAGGCAGCAGUGGGGAAUAUUGCACAAUGGGCGCAAGCCUGAUGCAGCCAUGCCGCGUGUGUGAAGAAGGCCUUCGGGUUGUAAAGCACUUUCAGUCGUGAGGAAGGUAGUGUAGUUAAUAGCUGCAUUAUUUGACGUUAGCGACAGAAGAAGCACCGGCUAAUC